ACGGUGUCUGUCGCUGAUUUACCAUUCAGAACCUCCUGGGCAACAGAAAAAUGAGGCCUGGAGGACACGGGAGCAAGGUGAAGAGAUACUUCUACAGUCUUCUCUAGGUGCUCAGGAUGCUGAAAGCCGCCUCCUCUUCAGAUCUUCAGCGCUGCUAGGCUGGGGGCUAGGUGGGCAGAUGUUGGGCUGUCUGGUACGGAUUCUUUGUGGUCUGUGCCUUCACUUCCAAAACACCCAGCCAAAAAAAAAAGUAAUAAUAAUAAUUAAAAAAAAAAAAGAGAGAGACAGUGAAAUGAAACCUGCAAUGUUAGCCACAAAAAAUUAGCUUUCACUUCACUUACGCAGCAGCAGUCUACAAUAACGGAGGCAAAAAGCACAGGUUCCCUGCUGCAAUCUCUGCCUCUGCUGAAAGGGGAGGAUGUUGGGUCGGGGGCAAUGACAAACUCCUGUUAGAGCUCUCCUGUCAAAGCAUUUAUUCUGCCAUAACAGAGCAACUUCCCAGCUACAGGAGCCGAGGCCCGCUCAGGAUCAACAGCACGGGAAUGCGGGAGAGCAGGAGGAAGAGGAGAGGGCCAGAAGGAAGAAAGAAUCAGUGCUGGCUACUCCGGUUGCACGCUCCUGACUGCUUCUUCACCUCAACAGUCGUGUGUGAACAAUUGACUCCAGAGACAUCAGCAGUCCCCCAGGAGAAGCCCUGGAAGGUGACUCAGGUGGGACCUUAACACCUCAAAACUAAAGGGCUCCUGCAGACUUGGCAGAGGUCUUUGUGCCUUGCAAAUCCACAAAGCUCAGAGUUCCUCUGGGAGGAAUGACACUGGGAAGAUGUGAGAUGAGAAUAUUAACACCCCAGGGUUACCAAAUAAAAAAAAAAAUUGAUUUUUAAUAACUCUAACCAUCUCUUCAGCUUUCAUUAGUCUCCUCUUUGGCUUUAUAGUGCUGGGCAUGAAGAAUAUGAGGAUUUGAAGAAUUAACUGAGUUAAUGAGGGCUGAUUAUUAAUGUUCAGAGCUCAAUAAAAAAGGGAGAGAGAGAAAUAAAACACACAAAAAAAUGAGCUGAAAAUAAGGGUAAUCUUUCAUUCCCCCCAAAUGAGAAACAUUGAAUUAUUGCUAUACUUAAAACUGAAGCACCCA
RNAcentral lists this long non-coding RNA (1131 nucleotides) under Cairina moschata (Muscovy duck). RNAcentral describes it as "domestica (muscovy Duck (domestic type)) lncRNA (ENSCMMG00000009571.1)". Lineage: Eukaryota; Metazoa; Chordata; Aves; Anseriformes; Anatidae. The record is from RNAcentral.